GACGAACGCUGGCGGCGUGCCUAAUACAUGCAGGUAGAACGCUGAAGGAGGAGCUUGCUUCUCUGGAUGAGUUGCGAACGGGUGAGUAACGCGUAGGUAACCUGCCUGGUAGCGGGGGAUAACUAUUGGAAACGAUAGCUAAUACCGCAUAAUAGUAGAUGUUGCAUGACAUUUGCUUAAAAGGUGCAAUUGCAUCACUACCAGAUGGACCUGCGUUGUAUUAGCUAGUUGGUGGGGUAACGGCUCACCAAGGCGACGAUACAUAGCCGACCUGAGAGGGUUGUCCGCCCACACGGGAACGGGGCAACGCCCAGGCUCCUUCGGGGAGGAGCAGUAAGGGAUUUUCGGGCAAGGACGGAAGGCCGACCGAGCAACGCCGCGUGAGGUGAGGAGGGUUUUGGGAUGGAAAGGUCUGUUUUAAGGGGAGGAAGGGUUGUGGGAUUGAAAGUUCACACUGUGACGGUAUCUUACCAGAAAGGGACGGCUAACUACGUG
Molecule: ribosomal RNA, 495 nt
Filed under: uncultured bacterium
Lineage: Bacteria
Description: partial 16S ribosomal RNA
Rfam family: Bacterial small subunit ribosomal RNA
Source: RNAcentral